This 484-nucleotide ribosomal RNA is filed under the name uncultured bacterium. RNAcentral's name for it is "partial 16S ribosomal RNA". It matches the Rfam family "Bacterial small subunit ribosomal RNA", at positions 30 to 507 of the family's 1533-position model. The record is from RNAcentral.
AUUGAACGCUGGCGGCAGGCCUAACACAUGCAAGUCGAGCGGAUGAAGGGAGCUUGCUCCUGGAUUCAGCGGCGGACGGGUGAGUAAUGCCUAGGAAUCUGCCUGGUAGUGGGGGAUAACGUCCGGAAACGGGCGCUAAUACCGCAUACGUCCUGAGGGAGAAAGUGGGGGAUCUUCGGACUUCCCCCUAUAGGAUGAGCCUAGGUCGGAUUAGCUAGUUGGUGGGGUAAAGGCCUACCAAGGCGACGAUCCGUAACUGGUCUGAGAGGAUGAUCAGUCACACUGGAACUGAGACACGGUCCAGACUCCUACGGGAGGCAGCAGUGGGGAAUAUUGGACAAUGGGCGAAAGCCUGAUCCAGCCAUGCCGCGUGUGUGAAGAAGGUCUUCGGAUUGUAAAGCACUUUAAGUUGGGAGGAAGGGCAGUAAGUUAAUACCUUGCUGUUUUGACGUUACCAACAGAAUAAGCACCGGCUAACUUCGUG